Molecule: ribosomal RNA, 460 nt
Filed under: uncultured bacterium
Lineage: Bacteria
Description: partial 16S ribosomal RNA
Rfam family: Bacterial small subunit ribosomal RNA
Source: RNAcentral
CCUACGGGCGGCAGCAGUGAGGAAUAUUGGUCAAUGGCCGGAAGGCUGAACCAGCCAUGCCGCGUGAAGGUCAGUGCCCUAUGGGCGUUAAACUUCUUUUGUGCGGGAGCAAUAAUGGUCACGUGUGGCCAGACGAGACUACCGUACGAAUAAGCAUCGGCUAACUCCGUGCCAGCAGCCGCGGUAAUACGGGGGAUGCAAGCGUUAUCCGGAUUUAUUGGGUUUAAAGGGUGCGUAGGCUGGGAGGUAAGUCAGCGGUGAAAUGCCCCCGCUCAACGGGGUGAAGUGCCAUUGAUACUGCCUGGCUGGAAUGCGGAUGCCGUGGGAGGAAUGUGUGGUGUAGCGGUGAAAUGCAUAGAUAUCACACAGAACACCGAUUGCGAAGGCAUCUCACGAAUCCGCGAUUGACGCUGAUGCACGAAAGCGUGGGUAUCAAACAGGAUUAGAUACCCCAGUAGUC